Molecule: unclassified non-coding RNA, 229 nt
Filed under: plant metagenome
Description: partial contains small subunit ribosomal RNA, internal transcribed spacer 1, and 5.8S ribosomal RNA
Source: RNAcentral
UUUCCGUAGGUGAACCUGCGGAAGGAUCAUUAGAAAGUUCGAUGCCGAAAGGCGUCCCACCUUCAAACCAUUGUGAAACUACCCGUUGCUUCGGCGGCGCUGGAACGCCUUCACCGGCCGCCCUCGUCAGUCCGCCCGAGGCUCCAAAACCAAAACUUUUCUGUAACCGUAGUCUGAACAACUAAGAUUUAAUUCGUUAAAACUUUCAACAACGGAUCUCUUGGUUCUC